CGGAGGAAAGUAGGGGAUCGAAAGACCUUAUGCUUUUGGAGCGGCCGAUGUCUGAUUAGCUAGUUGGUAAGGUAAUGGCUUACCAAGGCAACGAUCAGUAGUUGGUCUGAGAGGACGACCAGCCACACUGGGACUGAGACACGGCCCAGACUCCUACGGGAGGCAGCAGUGGGGAAUUUUGGACAAUGGGCGCAAGCCUGAUCCAGCAAUGCCGCGUGAGUGAAGAAGGCCUUCGGGUUGUAAAGCUCUUUCAGUUGAGAAGAAAAGAUUGUGACUAAUAAUUGCAAUUCAUGACGGUAUCAACAGAAGAAGCACCGGCUAACUACGUGCCAGCAGCCGCGGUAAUACGUAGGGUGCGAGCGUUAAUCGGAAUUACUGGGCGUAAAGGGUGCGCAGGCGGUUCUGUAAGUCAGAUGUGAAAUCCCCGGGCUUAACCUGGGAACUGCGUUUGAAACUACAAAGCUAGA
Molecule: ribosomal RNA, 467 nt
Filed under: uncultured bacterium
Lineage: Bacteria
Description: bacterial SSU rRNA
Rfam family: Bacterial small subunit ribosomal RNA
Source: RNAcentral